GACGAACGCUGGCGGCGUGCUUAACACAUGCAAGUCGAACGGUAAGGCCCUUCGGGGUACACGAGUGGCGAACGGGUGAGUAACACGUGGGUGAUCUGACCUGCACUUCGGGAUAAGCCUGGGAAACUGGGUCUAAUACCGGAUAGGACUCCUGGCUUCAUGGUUGGGGGUGGAAAGCUUUUGCGGUGUGGGAUGGGCCCGCGGCCUAUCAGCUUGUUGGUGGGGUAAUGGCCUACCAAGGCGACGACGGGUAGCCGGCCUGAGAGGGUGACCGGUCACACUGGGACUGAGAUACGGCCCAGACUCCUACGGGAGGCAGCAGUGGGGAAUAUUGCACAAUGGCGCAAGCCUGAUGCAGCGACGCCGCGUGAGGGAUGACGGCCUUCGGGUUGUAAACCUCUUUCAGCUAUGACGAAGCGCAAGUGACGGUAGUAGCAGAAGAAGGACCGGCCAACUACGUGCCAGCAGCCGCCGCCG
Molecule: ribosomal RNA, 477 nt
Filed under: uncultured bacterium
Lineage: Bacteria
Description: partial 16S ribosomal RNA
Rfam family: Bacterial small subunit ribosomal RNA
Source: RNAcentral